Acanthochromis polyacanthus (spiny chromis) is the source of this 2130-nucleotide long non-coding RNA. RefSeq lists it as uncharacterized. Lineage: Eukaryota; Metazoa; Chordata; Actinopteri; Pomacentridae. The transcript is spliced from 3 exons. The record is from RefSeq and is a predicted model, not a curated record.
GAACACACAACGCACACACAUAACAGACAGAUAGAAAGCUUUUCUGGAAGUAAUUCAUUUGGUGUGAAAUCUUUCCAACACAAAAGCUUUUGUGCCUGAUUUUAGGUUCUACAAAAUGUGAUAUUCUGUCUCCUUAAUCCUAUAGUUUUAUAGGAUAUGUCUGUUCCCUAUGAAUCAUUAAUUGCUCUUUACUUGACUGCAGUGGAAAAGUUAAAAAAAAUAAAAUUACGCACGUGUGUUCCAUGAUGCUGCAGAUACAUGGAUGCGCCUCAUCCUUUAACCUUUACGCACUGUUUUUUUCCUUGCUGCAUAGCUGGAGCCCCAUAGGCUUGUAACAACGGGGCCACUCUCUCCAUUCACCGAGAGAGGGGAGAGCGGUGCUGGUAGAGGAGGCGAGAGGCGAGGAGGUGGUGGUGGUGUGGUGGGGGGAGGCGGUAGUGGUGAGAAGGAGGGUGGCAGAGGAGGGAGAGGAGAAAACGUGUAAUCACCCAAACAACCGUUUCUUUUUUCUUCUUCUUCUUCUUUUUUUUUUUUUUUACCCAUUUCACCCCCUCUGGAUUCGUGUGGCAAGCCUGCAGUCUGCCGUGAGGCUAUGUGUCUUUCAUUGCGGAUACCGUGACGGGAGGCCGGACCACCGGGAGGAAAACACCAAGAGGGAGAAGAUGGAAACUGGAUGUAUGAGGAGAACCAUGCCAACAACACAUCGCUCCCGAAGUUCUAUUUGUAUGUGAGUUCUGUUAUUAGGACCUAUUUAUUGUAGGUAAUUUUAAAUGUGACAUUCCUGUAAGUUUAUUCAUUUACUAUAAAGAGAAAGUACAUAUGCAAACAUAUGACGCAUCAUACAUUCCAUCAUAACAUUAUAUUUUUCUGUAAUGAAGUAUAAAUGAGAUAUAUUAAAACAAAUCAGACAAUGCCUCUUAGAUUCAAGCAAGCACGUACAUCCAUCAUUUGUACAAAUAAUGCUUGAACUAGCACCAACUUCUGUGCUUGCGCUAGCCAUUCGCCACUUCGCCAUAGGCGCAGCCUUCCUCAGGAUGGCGAAGCCAUUUUUAGCAUGUUUAGCCACGGUGGCGAAGCUAAUUUUGCCUAAUAAAUGUGAAAAAGGGUUAACUUAGGGCUGGGCGAUAAAUCGAAUUAAUUAGAUUAAUUCAAGUUUUUAAAACCCGACGAUUUGAAAAUUUGCAAAAUCAUAAAAUCGAGGCAAGCUUAAAUAUGAAUUCUUCUUCUGCCUUUCACGACUUGUGCACUGGCGUUUGCUUCCGCUUCUCAUCUCCUUCCGCCAAAACACUCACACCCCCUAGAUGAAUCUCAUUAGCUUUUUUCAUGAAUCUCGUCAGGAAAGUAAGAUUCAGUACUUUCUAGUCUUAACAAGUAUUGAGUAUGUAUUUUAUGUUACAGUGACAUGAUUGAUAUAUUGAUUUUUUUUACAGGAAUUGUUGUGCAUAUUUCUUAUUACUUAGAAAUAAAAAUAGUCCAGUUGCAAAUUGUGUGUGAGUAACUUUUUUAAUUAAACUGUUGAAGUAAUCUGAAGCAAUACUGAACAUAAUUUUUGGCCUCAAAAUGCACCAGAAGGCAGGAAAAGGACUCAGUUUUUUCAAAAUUUCCCGCACCGCAGUACAGAUACUGAAAAAGUGUGGCUAAAUGUGGCUAAACAAAAUUCUAGCACUUUAGCCACAGUGGCUAGAGACAAAUUUUCCCUAGUGUAAGCACAGAAUUUAGAACUGCGCUCCUGUAAAACUGUCCUACUCAUGAUGGACAGUUGUUUCUUUAAUAUUAAAAAUCAUCCCAGUUAUCACAGCAGAGUCAGUGUUGUUCACUUUCUCUAUUGAAUAGCAAUUCUUUUUGCUUGUAAAACCCAUAAACCAAUAAUACCCACACUGCAAAUGAAGUACCAACUGUGUGAUCAGAAAUAUUGCCUUAAGCAUCUAUCCUUAAAGCUGAAGCAGUGAGCUAUCGAAAAAUGUCUCUUCAGUUACUUAUACAACACCGUUUUUUAAAAAUAAUUUCAGACUUAUAUUCUUCAGCCCUGACACAUGUGACAGCACUUGAGAUUUGUCAGUCUUAGUGCACAACUCGUGUAAACAUGAUGUGUAAAAUCAGUGGCGUACCCAUUAAAUAUGCAAAACUUGA